RNAcentral lists this long non-coding RNA (313 nucleotides) under Elaeis guineensis (African oil palm). Its description in RNAcentral is "long non-coding RNA (EGUI_LNC006378)". Lineage: Eukaryota; Viridiplantae; Streptophyta; Magnoliopsida; Arecales; Arecaceae. The record is from RNAcentral.
AUCCAUUUAAUUCAUUUAAUAUUUGGAUCGAAUUUGGAUUUUGCAUAUAUGAUCUAUUUAAUCUGUUUAACUCAUUUAAUAUUCAGAUCAGAUUGAGUCAAAUAACUCAUUUAAUUCAUUUAAGAUCUAUUUAAAACCUGCUUAAUCUAUUUCUAACCUAUUUAAUCAACCUGUUUAACCUAUUAAAAAUCACUUGUUUAACCUAUUUAACAUAAUUUAAUUCAUUUAAUAAAUGAAUUAAGUAGAUCGGAUCGAGUUAUUUGUUUAAUAAAUAGAUCGAGUUUAGGUUUGAAUUUUGAUUUAUUUAAUAAAU